UGGCCUAGGUUAGAGAAAUAUCCAGUGC
Molecule: non-coding RNA, 28 nt
Filed under: Mus musculus (house mouse)
Lineage: Eukaryota; Metazoa; Chordata; Mammalia; Rodentia; Muridae
Source: RNAcentral